Molecule: ribosomal RNA, 356 nt
Filed under: uncultured Desulfobulbus sp.
Lineage: Bacteria; Pseudomonadati; Thermodesulfobacteriota; Desulfobulbia; Desulfobulbales; Desulfobulbaceae
Description: bacterial SSU rRNA
Rfam family: Bacterial small subunit ribosomal RNA
Source: RNAcentral
UACUGGAGACAGGUGCUGCAUGGCUGUCGUCAGCUCGUGUCGUGAGAUGUUGGGUUAAGUCCCGCAACGAGCGCAACCCUUGCCUUUAGUUGCCAGCAGUUCGGCUGGGCACUCUAAAGGGACUGCCGGUGUUAAACCGGAGGAAGGUGGGGAUGACGUCAAGUCCUCAUGGCCUUUAUGACCAGGGCUACACACGUACUACAAUGGCCGAUACAAAGGGCAGCGACACUGCGAGGUGAAGCCAAUCCCGUAAAAUCGGUCUCAGUCCGGAUUGGAGUCUGAAACUCGACUUCAUGAAGUUGGAAUCGCUAGUAAUCGCGCAUCAGCAUGGCGCGGUGAAUACGUUCCCGGGCCUU